GAACACGGACCAAGGAGUCUUGAAUGUGCGCGAGUCAAAGGGCUGGCUAAACCCCAAGGCGAAACGAAAGUGAAUUUUCUUUCAAUAGGGCUGAUCCGGUUCGUUGUGAGAGCUGGGGUUAGCGGGGUCGUUCGUCGCCGUCUGGUCGAUAUCCCUUUUCGCAGGGGAAGUCGAAGGCGGAUGCUCGGCUUCUCCGCGCUCCAUCCUCUCCCCUCGAUUUGUUACCUCAAUAUGUGGUCGGCGCAAGCCCGGGGCUCGCAAUGUUCCUCUUCGCCGUUAAGGCUCGGUCGUUGGCUUCGCGACUCCUCCUUCUUCAAAUUGUAAAACGAGAAGGAGGGGGUGUUCGCGGGCAACGGCUCGCUGGCGGAGACGGACAGCGGGUUCUCUGAGCGCACAUUCAAGGACCCGAAAGAUGGUGAUCUAUGCGUGGCGAGGAUGAAGCCAGGGGAAACUCUGGUGGAGGUCUCGCAGCGAUUCUGACG
RNAcentral lists this ribosomal RNA (482 nucleotides) under Agnara madagascariensis. RNAcentral describes it as "partial 28S ribosomal RNA". It matches the Rfam family "Eukaryotic large subunit ribosomal RNA", at positions 657 to 891 of the family's 3401-position model. The record is from RNAcentral. Lineage: Eukaryota; Metazoa; Arthropoda; Malacostraca; Isopoda; Agnaridae.